AUACAGGGCUUAAAGUCUUGUAAUUGGAAUGAUGGGAAUCUAAACCCUUCCCAGAGUAUCAAUUGGAGGGCAAGUCUGGUGCCAGCAGCCGCGGUAAUUCCAGCUCCAAUAGCGUAUAUUAAAGUUGUUGCAGUUAAGAAGCUCGUAGUUGAAUUUCUGCCUUGUCAUUAAUCUCGCUUCCGAGCGUUUUUUUAUUGACUUGGCAUCUUCUGGAUUUGGUGCCUUCGGGUACUAUUUUCCAGGAUUUACUUUGAGAAAACUAGAGUGUUUCAAACAGGCAUUCGCCUUGAAUACUACAGCAUGGAAUAAUGAAGUAGGACUUUGGUUCUAUUUUGUUGGUUAUUGAGCCAGAGUAAUGGGGAAUAGGAGCA
This 371-nucleotide ribosomal RNA is filed under the name Babesia microti. Its description in RNAcentral is "SSU rRNA". It matches the Rfam family "Eukaryotic small subunit ribosomal RNA", at positions 483 to 880 of the family's 1831-position model. The record is from RNAcentral. Lineage: Eukaryota; Apicomplexa; Aconoidasida; Piroplasmida; Babesiidae.